AACGAACGCUGGCGGCAUGCCUAACACAUGCAAGUCGAACGAGACCUUCGGGACUAGUGGCGCACGGGUGCGUAACGCGUGGGAACCUGCCCUUAGGUUCGGAAUAACUCCCCGAAAGGGGUGCUAAUACCGGAUAAUGUCUUCGGACCAAAGAUUUAUCGCCUUUGGAUGGGCCCGCGUUGGAUUAGCUAGUUGGUAGGGUAAAAGCCUACCAAGGCGACGAUCCAUAGCUGGUCUGAGAGGAUGAUCAGCCACACUGGGACUGAGACACGGCCCAGACUCCUACGGGAGGCAGCAGUGGGGAAUAUUGGACAAUGGGCGAAAGCCUGAUCCAGCAAUGCCGCGUGAGUGAUGAAGGCCUUAGGGUUGUAAAGCUCUUUUACCCGGGAUGAUAAUGACAGUACCGGGAGAAUAAGCUCCGGCUAACUCCGUG
This 433-nucleotide ribosomal RNA is filed under the name uncultured bacterium. Its description in RNAcentral is "partial 16S ribosomal RNA". It matches the Rfam family "Bacterial small subunit ribosomal RNA", at positions 29 to 507 of the family's 1533-position model. The record is from RNAcentral.